This 196-nucleotide unclassified non-coding RNA is filed under the name uncultured Chaetothyriales. Its description in RNAcentral is "sequence contains ITS1". Lineage: Eukaryota; Fungi; Ascomycota; Eurotiomycetes; Chaetothyriales. The record is from RNAcentral.
CCGAGUUAGGGUCCUCUGGGCCCGACCUCCCAACCCUAUGUUUAUCGAACCAUUGUUGCUUCGGCGGACCCGUCUCUCCCACGAGACCGCCGGGGGCCCGUCACACGUCCCCUGGCCCGCGUCCGCCGGCAGCCCUCUUCAUAAAACUCUUGUUAUAACCGUGUCUAUUGUCUGAAUGUAUAUACCAAUUAAAGCA